AUGGCGUGUGGGCUGAGUUGUCUUCUCCUGGUGGCUGUGUUAGGAGGGGUCCAGUGUGAGGUGCAGCUGGUGGAGUCUGGGGAAAACUUGGUGCAGCCCGGGGGCUCCCUGACACUCUCCUGUGCAGCCUCUGGAUUCAACUUUAGCAACUAUGGAAUGCAUUGGGUUCGACAGGCUCCAGGGAAGGACAUAGAGUGGGUUGAAAUAAUUUAUUAUGAUGGUGGUACUAAAUACUAUGCCGGCUCUGUGAAGGGCCGAUUCACCAUCUCCAGAGACAACAGCAAGAACACGCUCUCUCUGCAAAUGAGCCGCCUGAGGGAGGAGGACACGGCCCUGUACUACUGUACGAGACACAGUGAAAGGAAGGCCCUGUGGACCCAGACACAAACCACCUGCAGGAGGAAGCAGUGUGAACUUCAAGGGAGCAGGCCCCCAGGAGGCUCUGAGGACUCUCCCCUGA
This is a non-coding RNA of Sorex fumeus (smoky shrew), 460 nucleotides long. The record is from the annotation of a RefSeq genome assembly. NCBI's taxonomy places the organism in Eukaryota, Metazoa, Chordata, Mammalia, Eulipotyphla, Soricidae.